GAUGAACGCUAGCGGGAGGCCUAAUACAUGCAAGUCGAACGGUAAGGUCCUUCGGGAGUACACGAGUGGCAAACGGGUAGCGUAACGCGUACGGAACAUGCCUCUAUCAGAGAGAUAGCCCUGGGAAACUGGGUAUAAUACCUCAUAGUAUUGUAUUGCCGCAUGGUAUUUACAAUUAAAGCUCCGGCGGAUAGAGAUUGUCGUGCGUCCCAUUAGCUAGUUGGUAAGGUAACGGCUUACCAAGGCGACGAUGGGUAACUGGUUUGAGAGGAUGAUCAGUCACACUGGAACUGAGACACGGUCCAGACUCCUACGGGAGGCAGCAGUAGGGAAUAUUGGACAAUGGACGCAAGUCUGAUCCAGCCAUCCCGCGUGCAGGAUUAAGGCCCUCUGGGUUGUAAACUGCUUUUAUUAGAGAAGAAACCUCAGAUUUAUCUGAACUUGACGGUAUCUAAUGAAUAAGCACCGGCUAACUCCGUGCCAGCAGCCGCGGUAAUU
RNAcentral lists this ribosomal RNA (498 nucleotides) under uncultured bacterium. RNAcentral's name for it is "bacterial SSU rRNA". It matches the Rfam family "Bacterial small subunit ribosomal RNA", at positions 28 to 525 of the family's 1533-position model. The record is from RNAcentral.